AAGGACUUAGGAUUAUCUAGACCAAGAGCCUUCAAAGCCCUAAGAGGGAGUGAAAACCUCUCAGUCCUUG
RNAcentral lists this transfer RNA (70 nucleotides) under Parachanna insignis. Its description in RNAcentral is "tRNA-Trp". It matches the Rfam family "tRNA". From Rfam's summary of the family: Transfer RNA (tRNA) molecules are approximately 80 nucleotides in length. Their secondary structure includes four short double-helical elements and three loops (D, anti-codon, and T loops). Further hydrogen bonds mediate the characteristic L-shaped molecular structure. tRNAs have two regions of fundamental functional importance: the anti-codon, which is responsible for specific mRNA codon recognition, and the 3' end, to which the tRNAs corresponding amino acid is attached (by aminoacyl-tRNA synthetases). tRNAs cope with the degeneracy of the genetic code in two manners: having more than one tRNA (with a specific anti-codon) for a particular amino acid; and 'wobble' base-pairing, i.e. permitting non-standard base-pairing at the 3rd anti-codon position. RNAcentral also lists the same sequence under 1 other name. The record is from RNAcentral. Lineage: Eukaryota; Metazoa; Chordata; Actinopteri; Anabantiformes; Channidae.